CUGCCACCUCAGCCGCGCUAGGUCCCGGCAGACGCCAGCCGCUAGCCUCCAGACGCUGACGGUCCUGCCACGCUCGCCGCCGCCGCCGCCGCCGCCGACGCCGCGGGCACGACAGAGCUAAGACAUCAAGCACACAAAGAAUUUUAUGCCUACAAACAGGUUAUAUUAAAAGAGAAAGUAAAAGAACUGAAUUUACAUGAGGUAAGUAUUUUAACUUCUUCUUGAGCUGUGUUCUAAUAGAACUGAUAUAUAAUGGAAUGCUUAAACACCUUUAUUUUCAGAAGCUGAAAAAAUUAGACUGAUUUUGAUCAGCUUCAUAGAAUAUUUGAGGGUGAGGUCACAUAAAAAUCUUCUUUGUGAAGACUUCUAGGGGAGUAAAAUAACUCGGUUUUAGUAGGAAAGUCCAGCGUAAGUUGUAAUAGCAGAGUUGCUGCUUGCUGUCCAUUCUAUACAAGCAGGAGAUAGAGAUAAAUUAGUUUCACUACUCAAGAUGAAUUUGCACUAAUUUCACUUUUGAAAAUGUUCCCAGUAGUCCUUUCUUACCAAAGGCACAAGAAAGGCAGUGAUUACUUCAUGAGGGUGGGGAUUUAAGGAGGUGAGACAGAGGGAUGAAAUAGGGAAGAACAUAUAGGGAGAGAUAGGAACUUUCGGGAUUGUCUCUUGAUGAGGUUGCAUGUCUGGGGUGUUUACUAUGUUGUCAUGCUUUCUAAGUUAAAAACAAAAGUGUGUGUGUAUGCUGCUGUACACCUUAAGACACAUAGUGUAUAAUAAUUCUUGUUUAUUUUGUUCUUUGUGUUGCCUCUGAUUACAAAUGUUCAGAAUUUUUAUUUUUAAUUUUAGAGGCCUUUCUCUUCCUCCCUUUCUAAGUUUUUAAACUGGUGUUUACCACAAAGACUUGGAAAGCUGCAUGUUGUAAUAUUUACGUUUACUAUAACCCAACUGUGGUGAAGCUACAUUGCCAAUCUCUUCAAAGAGAGUUAAUUUGUGAAAUUAUUUGAAUAAUAAUAAUAAUGAUUUAUAUUAGAAUUCAUCUACUGGUACUUUGCUCUUUCUGCAUACUUUUUAUCUAAGAGUUGAUAUGGUAUGGCAUUUCAGACCUAACCUUGGAUUAAACUCAAGCAUCAGUUACUGUUUGAUUUUU
This 1141-nucleotide long non-coding RNA is filed under the name Sus scrofa (pig). Its description in RNAcentral is "lncRNA (ENSSSCG00025056726.1)". Lineage: Eukaryota; Metazoa; Chordata; Mammalia; Artiodactyla; Suidae. The record is from RNAcentral.